UACGGAGGGUGCAAGCGUUAUCCGGAUUCACUGGGUUUAAAGGGUGCGUAGGUGGGCAGUUAAGUCAGUGGUGAAAUCUCCGGGCUCAACCCGGAAACUGCCAUUGAUACUAUCUGUCUUGAAUAUCGUGGAGGUAAGCGGAAUAUGUCAUGUAGCGGUGAAAUGCUUAGAUAUGACAUAGAACACCAAUUGCGAAGGCAGCUUACUACCCGAAUAUUGACACUGAGGCACGAAGGCGUGGGGAUCAAACAGG
RNAcentral lists this ribosomal RNA (253 nucleotides) under uncultured bacterium. Its description in RNAcentral is "partial 16S ribosomal RNA". It matches the Rfam family "Bacterial small subunit ribosomal RNA", at positions 524 to 776 of the family's 1533-position model. The record is from RNAcentral.